AAAUGGGCGGUAAUGGUUUCCAGAGUCUCUGCACCUGGGUGAAUUCAUCUGCCUGUUGUGAUCAGUUGUCUUGGCCACCUCUCCUUUAUAAUGACCCCUUCGGUAGCAGGACAAAAUGCCCAACUCAAAGUGACUUAAACAGAAAGGAAUUUAAUUGGCUUCUGUGAGUGACAAGGCCAGGGAUUUCAGGCAUAGUCUGAUCAAGGCACUGGUUCUGUGCAGUCUCUCCCCAGACCUGUGGUCACCAGAAUAACAGCUCCAGAGAUGUCCGUGCCCUGAUCCCGUAACCUGGGAGCCAGAGAGCUCUCUGAGAGUCAGAGCAGGCAAGGGUGCAGGUCUCCCCUGGAGCCUUCACGGGAGCCAGCACUGCCCACACCCGGACGUUAGCCCCGUGAGGCCCGUUUCCUACUUCUGGCCCCAUAGCUGUUAAAGAAUAAGCUUGUGUGGCUUCAGGCCCUGAAUGUGGUAAUCCGUUAAUCCGCUAGAGCUGCAAGAAGAAACCGUCACUGGCCAGGCUCAGCUUCCACUGAGUGGCCCUCGUUCUCAGGUGUGCUCCUGUCACCUUGGGCCCACCCAGGCUGACAGGCUAAUCACGGCAAGUCCAGAGGGUGAGAGCUGCUUUGGAGAAUCCCCACGGAAGAGGCUCCAGACCACGGUCUUCAUUGAGCUGACUUCCUGGGCACCACGGGAGCCCGUAGCCCCUCUGCUGGCCCUGGGGGCCUGUGUGCAGCCACAGGGGCAGAGCUGACCCACGAGGGUGGCAAAGUCCACACCGGAGGACCCCGGGGCCUGCACGCCAUGGUGAAGCCCCCAGAUAAACCCACCCUGGAGCCAGCACCAAAGACCCCAGACUCCACUGGUUCGGGUAACCAAAAGGCCCCUGUUGCCUCCUGUAAUGCAGAGUCUGGGAGGACACAAGCGUCAGGCACAGCUGGAUCCCAGUGCUCACAAGAGGUCCUCACGACCCUGCCGCCUCUCAGCCGUGGGAUCAUGAAGGCUUUCUCUCCUGGCGGCAAGGACGGCUGCCCCUCGGGUCCCAUGGAAAGCGCUUGUUUCUAGUGCCGCUGGACCCAGCCUAGGUUUCAUGCUGGCCUCUGGACAAAUCACUGCUUGAGGCAGAGCCCACGCACGGGGCAAGGCCGGAGCCUCUGCCGAGGGGAACCCAGCCAGGGGCUUGGCGUUUUUGGACACACGCCUUCUGGAGUUCGGGGCAGCGGUGGGAACAGGGGAAGACUGGCCAGACAGGAGCCAGGAGGGGGCUGCAGGCUGCGGGGCGUCCCCAGGACACAAGAGCAGCCUUAUGCGCAGCAUCAGGGCCACGGCCCAGCACCCAGAGUACAACUGGCCUCCAGUAUGGAGAAUACCUUCAAGAUGUUCAAGGUGCUUUGGCUGCUCUAAUGAUUAACGGAUGUAAAACAGAUGAGCAGGAGAAAAACAAGCAGAAGAAGUUUAGUAACACAUGUACUGAAUGGGAGACAGUCGCGAAAACCGACUGACACUCAGAAGCACGGAAGCCAUCACCUUCAGAGAAAGCCAAAGAUGACGCUGGGGGUGCGGAGUGUGUUAUGGGAGGUGACCCGGAACCGCACAGUAGACAGGGGCAAGGCUGCAGCACAUUCAACUCCUGCCUCCCCUCCUUACAGGUUUCUGAAGGGACACACCCUUACACAGGGACUUUCCCUUGUGAAUGUAAAUGUUUCUUGCAAAAGGGUAACUGCUGCUUGACUUUUCAGAGUAUCUCAGGUAUCUGCAGCUCUUAAAUAUCCAGUUGAAAACAAUCAGGAUGCACAGGAGGGACGCGGUGCCUCACCUGGCUGUGACCGGCACUCCCUGAUGGCUCACGAUGGCCGGCGUCUCCUCAUGGACUCGUUGUCCAUUUGUAGGUCUUCUUUGGAGAAGCGUUGUAUUCAGACCCUUCAUCCAUUUUUUUUUUUUGAUACUGAUUUUUGAGAGAGAGAGAG
Molecule: long non-coding RNA, 1961 nt
Organism: Lynx canadensis (Canada lynx)
Lineage: Eukaryota; Metazoa; Chordata; Mammalia; Carnivora; Felidae
Exons: 3
Source: RefSeq, a predicted model, not a curated record